Molecule: ribosomal RNA, 503 nt
Filed under: uncultured bacterium
Lineage: Bacteria
Description: partial 16S ribosomal RNA
Rfam family: Bacterial small subunit ribosomal RNA
Source: RNAcentral
AUUGAACGCUGGCGGCAGGCUUAACACAUGCAAGUCGAGCGGGGUGAUGGUGCUUGCACUAUCACUUAGCGGCGGACGGGUGAGUAAUGCUUAGGAAUCUGCCUAUUAGUGGGGGACAACAUCUCGAAAGGGAUGCUAAUACCGCAUACGUCCUACGGGAGAAAGCAGGGGAUCACUUGUGACCUUGCGCUAAUAGAUGAGCCUAAGUCGGAUUAGCUAGUUGGUGGGGUAAAGGCCUACCAAGGCGACGAUCUGUAGCGGGUCUGAGAGGAUGAUCCGCCGCAAUGGGACUGGGACACGGCCCAGACUCCUACGGGAGGCAGCAGUGGGGAAUAUUGGACAAUGGGGGGAACCCUGAUCCAGCCAUGCCGCGUGUGUGAAGAAGGCCUUAUGGUUGUAAAGCACUUUAAGCGAGGAGGAGGCUUACCUAGUUAAUACCUGGGAUAAGUGGACGUUACUCGCAGAAUAAGCACCGGCUAACUCUGUGCCAGCAGCCGCGGUAA